This 466-nucleotide ribosomal RNA is filed under the name uncultured bacterium. RNAcentral's name for it is "partial 16S ribosomal RNA". It matches the Rfam family "Bacterial small subunit ribosomal RNA", at positions 28 to 507 of the family's 1533-position model. The record is from RNAcentral.
GAUGAACGCUGGCGGCGUGCUUAACACAUGCAAGUCGAACGAUGAAGCCCAGCUUGCUGGGUGGAUUAGUGGCGAACGGGUGAGUAACACGUGAGUAACCUGCCCUUAACUCUGGGAUAAGCCUGGGAAACUGGGUCUAAUACCGGAUAGGAGCGUCCACCGCAUGGUGGGUGUUGGAAAGAUUUAUCGGUUUUGGAUGGACUCGCGGCCUAUCAGCUUGUUGGUGAGGUAAUGGCUCACCAAGGCGACGACGGGUAGCCGGCCUGAGAGGGUGACCGGCCACACUGGGACUGAGACACGGCCCAGACUCCUACGGGAGGCAGCAGUGGGGAAUAUUGCACAAUGGGCGCAAGCCUGAUGCAGCGACGCCGCGUGAGGGAUGACGGCCUUCGGGAUGUAAACCUCUUUCAGUAGGGAAGAAGCGAAAGUGACGGUACCUGCAGAAGAAGCACCGGUUAACUACGUG